RNAcentral lists this ribosomal RNA (497 nucleotides) under uncultured bacterium. RNAcentral describes it as "partial 16S ribosomal RNA". It matches the Rfam family "Bacterial small subunit ribosomal RNA", at positions 28 to 507 of the family's 1533-position model. The record is from RNAcentral.
GACGAACGCUGGCGGCGUGCCUAAUACAUGCAAGUUGAGCGCUGAAGGUUGGUACUUGUACCAACUGGAUGAGCAGCGAACGGGUGAGUAACGCGUGGGGAAUCUGCCUUUGAGCGGGGGACAACAUUUGGAAACGAAUGCUAAUACCGCAUAAAAACUUUAAACACAAGUUUUAAGUUUGAAAGAUGCAAUUGCAUCACUCAAAGAUGAUCCCGCGUUGUAUUAGCUAGUUGGUGAGGUAAAGGCUCACCAAGGCGAUGAUACAUAGCCGACCUGAGAGGGUGAUCGGCCACAUUGGGACUGAGACGCGGCCCAAACUCCUACGGGAGGCAGCAGUAGGGAAUCUUCGGCAAUGGACGAAAGUCUGACCGAGCAACGCCGCGUGAGUGAAGAAGGUUUUCGGAUCGUAAAACUCUGUUGGUAGAGAAGAACGUUGGUGAGAGUGGAAAGCUCAUCAAGUGACGGUAACUACACAGAAAGGGACGGCUAACUACGUG